GCUUUUAUAGUUUAAUUUUUUAAAAAUAUUGGUCUUGUAAAUCAAUGAUGGUAUUGACCUAAAAGCA
This 67-nucleotide transfer RNA is filed under the name Bosmina fatalis. RNAcentral describes it as "tRNA-Thr". It matches the Rfam family "tRNA". From Rfam's summary of the family: Transfer RNA (tRNA) molecules are approximately 80 nucleotides in length. Their secondary structure includes four short double-helical elements and three loops (D, anti-codon, and T loops). Lineage: Eukaryota; Metazoa; Arthropoda; Branchiopoda; Diplostraca; Bosminidae. The record is from RNAcentral.